Asparagus officinalis (garden asparagus) is the source of this 1317-nucleotide RNA transcript. It is a transcript of the gene named probable sugar phosphate/phosphate translocator At1g06470, with no coding region annotated. The record is from RefSeq and is a predicted model, not a curated record. The transcript is spliced from 7 exons. Lineage: Eukaryota; Viridiplantae; Streptophyta; Magnoliopsida; Asparagales; Asparagaceae.
CUCUCUCUCUCUCUCCCAAAAAAACCCCAAUCCCUCCUCCAUCAAGCCCCAAAAUCAGAGCUCCCCCAAAUCUGAUUUCUCCGACGACUUCACCAACUCCGCCUCCCUCCCAAAUCCGCCAUCUCCGACGGCGUCACCAACUCCUCCAUACUUCGCCGACUUCCUCUUCGAUCUCCGUCGAGCUCCCUCGAUCUCCCUCGAGCUCUCUAAGUGAUCUCCCCCAACUUCGCCAACUACCCCCUCCUCCGUCGACUUCCCCCUACUCCGCCGACUUCGAUCUAACGGACUCUGUCAAGGGACCAUGAAUGUUAACGGAAAGGGGUACGCCUCGUUAGAAAUCGAUAAUGGAGAGAAUCUCGAUAAUUUGAGUUCGAUUUCUGCUGUAAUGGUGCUCAAAACUCUAUUCUUUCUACUUGCCUGGUACCUUUUCAGUACUCUGUUGACGUUGUAAGCUUGUGGUAUAAUAAGACAUUGUUAGGGGACCAUCUGUGAAAAUUUUCGGUUCCUUUGAUGAUGAACACAGUUCAUUUUGGGAUGCAAGCUGUGAUAUCCAACACCAUUUUUUUCCAGACUCUGUUUAAAGAUAGAAGCGGCCCGACCAUGACAUGGAGGGAUUACUUCUUUAGAGUUGUGCCUACGGGAUUGGCUACUGCCUUGGAUGUAAACCUGAGCAAUGAGUCCCUUGUUUUCAUAUCAGUUACAUUUGCGACAAUGUGUAAAUCUGCAGCACCGAUAUUUCUCCUGGUGUUUGCUUUCGCAUUUAGGAUCAUGAUAUAUGUGAGAGGUUUAGUGCAAAAAAUCAAGCGUCUAUGCUUCAGUUCACAGAUAUUGCAAAUAUUCAAGGAUCUGUUUUUGAAAGAACAAGACCCGCCAAAUGACAUGAACAACCUUUUCUAGUUUUAAGAGUCUCUUUUGGUUCAAUAUUUAUUCUUCAAGACGGCUGCUCACAAGAGGUUACUACUUAAGAGGGCCUAUGGCAUGGCUGCUAACAGGAGAUCUUUAUGCUUCAAACGACCAAGCUGCCAUGUGUACUCAUCCUCUCUGACAGCUUCAAAUCGAGCUGCUAUCUGCUCUUAAGCAGUUCGCAACUUUGUGCUACGAUGUGUAUUACUAGCUCUUCAUGUUGUAACCGAAACAUUGAUGCAUGAACUCGAAACAUUGUUGUAACUGUGUUGUUUUGCAACAGAUUUCAUUAUAUGUGAGUUUGAGAGUUGCAAUCUAUUUCAAUUUGUUGUUGAUAUGUUGUGUAUAUCCAUUAUUUGUUGAAACAUAGACAGUGAAUUUUCUUGUUAUGUAUGCACCUAUUGUGUUUGCUUA